GGUGAGGUCGGAUAGUGGUUAUUCCGUUGAUUUCAAGCAAAGAGCUUUCCAAUUAGAUUGGGACUGUCAAUGCUUUAUGCAUCCUGGGUUCGAAUCCCAGUCUCACCA
Transfer RNA from Wallemia ichthyophaga EXF-994, 108 nucleotides. It matches the Rfam family "tRNA". From Rfam's summary of the family: Transfer RNA (tRNA) molecules are approximately 80 nucleotides in length. Their secondary structure includes four short double-helical elements and three loops (D, anti-codon, and T loops). Further hydrogen bonds mediate the characteristic L-shaped molecular structure. tRNAs have two regions of fundamental functional importance: the anti-codon, which is responsible for specific mRNA codon recognition, and the 3' end, to which the tRNAs corresponding amino acid is attached (by aminoacyl-tRNA synthetases). tRNAs cope with the degeneracy of the genetic code in two manners: having more than one tRNA (with a specific anti-codon) for a particular amino acid; and 'wobble' base-pairing, i.e. permitting non-standard base-pairing at the 3rd anti-codon position. Lineage: Eukaryota; Fungi; Basidiomycota; Wallemiomycetes; Wallemiales; Wallemiaceae. The record is from Rfam.